RNAcentral lists this unclassified non-coding RNA (417 nucleotides) under Hevea brasiliensis (rubber tree). Lineage: Eukaryota; Viridiplantae; Streptophyta; Magnoliopsida; Malpighiales; Euphorbiaceae. The record is from RNAcentral.
UGGAAAUUUAUCGAUACUCCGCUCCAUCUCGUCUUUGUCAAACUUGAGAGGUGUCAGAACAACACCAUCAGAAUCGAAAGUGGAUGUCUCCCUAAACUCCACAAUAUUGGCGGAGCUUUUUCUCAAGGAUUGUGGUUUUCGUGAUUUGUCCUCCUUGAUAAGGGGUACCUCUUCACUUGUGCUUUUGCUACGGGCGUAAUUUCUAGAUUGUGAACGAGUUGUCUUACCAGCUGCGGAAGAAGGUUUGGUGUUCUCCUUUCUCAUGUCAGAGAAGUUUGGGACAGACUGUGCCAGAGGAUUUUCAGAUUGAAUUCUCCGCCUACCUGAUGUAUUAUUAGAAGCUUUCCCAGAAGACCUUGGAACAGGUGCUACUGUGGUGCGAGGUGUGGAUGAAGACAAACCUUUGACAGGUAAAGG